Mytilus californianus (California mussel) is the source of this 2804-nucleotide long non-coding RNA. RefSeq lists it as uncharacterized. NCBI's taxonomy places the organism in Eukaryota, Metazoa, Mollusca, Bivalvia, Mytilida, Mytilidae. The record is from RefSeq and is a predicted model, not a curated record. The transcript has 3 exons.
AGAGCCAAUCCGCCAGAAAACCAUGCAAUAUUCAGAAAAUCGUCCAAAUCGACAAUCACAACUUGACAAAUUUUUAUACAUCAUCUUAAUCCUUGACAUAAAAUAAAAGAAUUUGACCACUUAAUUUUUCCCAGAAUCGUAUCUAUUUUUAGCAACAGCCUCAUUUGCAUAAUUCUGUAAAUUCAUAAUGAAACCAAGGAAAAAUCCAACUUUUUUAUGCCUUUUAAGAAUGACCCAGAAGCAUAUUAAAUGGGGUAGUUGAGUUUUUAGAGUAAUGUCAGCUGAAAUUCAUCCAUUUUACUAUGUUAUGAUCAAUACAAAUGAAAAUUUAAACGAUUUGGCACAUUGCCAGGAGCAGGGACACAAAGGCGGGGUUUUUCAUACAUGAAUUUACGUGGUUUUCAUUCGCUUCUAUCUUGCAAGACCCAUUCCGGAUUUGUUUGCAACUUAUAUCGGUUUUAACUAUGGGGUAUGUUUUAUAUCAAAACAAAAUAUUAAGCUUGGCAAAUGACUAUUAUAUGUUAAUUUAUGCCUUGGAAGAAUGGUGAUUUUAGUCCCAAAUUGACACAUUUUGAUUUUGAUUUUAAUUAAAUUCUAAACACAAUUGGUACUAAAAUGGCUCAUAAAAUCAUUCGAACAAGUAAAAUCAAUUUGCCUGAAAAAUGAAAUAAGACGUAUUUGUACUGCAAGUCCAAAAAUCAAUAAAUUGUCUGAAACCAGGGAGUCCAUCUUUUAUGCUCUUCCAUUGACUUAUCUCCCUUGGGUAAGAUCUCAAACAUGUCAGCUCCCAGUGAUGGUUUGGCAGACAAAUGUUUACAGUGAAGUUUGUGACUUUAAAAUUCUAGGAUGAGCAUGUGGGCUAUCCCAGUCUUAUACAUUUACAUAUUACAAACUAUUUAAGAUAUCUGAAUGCACUAAAGACCAAAAUAGCAUUUCCAAAAAAAAUAAUUAAAAUGUACUGCCAAGAAAUUUGACAAUCAUGACAAUAAUUUAGUGAAUAAACAUGAUAAAUAUUGAUUGGAAAAAUAAUUCCAUGAACAGCAAAAAGUGUUUUUAGAUUUCAACGAGCAAAACAAAAGUAUUCUAAAUCAUUCUUCGUAAAAAAAAAAGGUGAGUGAGUGGAACCACCUUGCUCGCACCAAAAUUGAGAUUGAGAGUGUCAAAACUGCUCUGGCGCACCAUCAAUAAAUCAACGACACUCUCUCUACCGUGGUAUUGAAACCAGCAUUGGUAACCAAACAUAUUCAUACAGAUACAGACUACCAUUCAUCUACAUUUAGGAAGUCUGAAUAAUACUGAAAACUAUGGUGUAGAAUUUCCAACAGGACUCCUUAUUUUAUAUAAGACAAGGAGUGGUUUAUUUUCCCAUGGUUGUUACAUCAUCUUGUCUUUGAAUAUGCUUGAAGUACAGGGACUUUUAGGGAAUUCAUUGACAUGAUAGUCAAGCAAGAUGUCAACAUCUCGUCCAACCCUCUUCCAGCAAAGCCAAAGCUGACCAAGGAUCUUCACCCUUUCAAAACAGGCUGUAUACAGGACGAGUUAUUCCAGUAGGAACAGGGCUAUAUAUAUGCAAGCAAUGCUCAAUUAAGAUGAAUUUUUGUAAAAGUGACAAUAGCCAGGUCAAACUAAAUACAUGUAUAGAAGAAGAUAUUGAUCUAGACUCGCAUCUAACCUUUCUGUCAGUGUCAACAACAACUGAACUUUCACAGCAGUCAACAUCAGAUUGGGAGACUGAUAAUGCUUCUAACAGAAACAAUUUCAACCAACCAAACAAGCAACAGAAACUUUCCAACUUUAAAACAUCAGUUAAAUCUUCCAUGGGAUGAUGUCUCAAAAAAUAACAGUUCAUCAUUUAUGGAGAUUUUAAUGUUAUGGUUUUUCUUUUACAAGAAAGUUAAUGUACACUUGUUUUAUAGUAAAACCUAUAGCCGUUCAAGUAUAAAAAAACACAUUCAACUUUAUUGAAAUUUGAAGAUUCAUAUGACUUAUUUUAAUUCUGUUAUCUCCGAGGAUGUGAUGUAGAGCAUUAUAGGUACAGUAAUCUUAACAGCUAUCCAAUUUCAUUUAAAAUUCUUUAUAAAUUUUGCACUAGUAUAUAUAGACUAAGUAAUUUGUUUUUCGUCUAGUUAUGGGAUUUUUUUUUAGAAGCAUUUAUGAUUUUCAUGUUUGUAUUGACCACAUUGCAGCAACAUAGAUAUAGGUACCUGGCAAAUCUUGCCUUGUUAGCAUACUAGGCUCAAAGGGGCAUACAAAAAUUUCCAUCAACAAGUGUCUGUUAAAAUCAUCUGUUUACAGUUUUCACUUUUAAACCAUCAUCUUAAUAACUUUAGAAGAAGUGUCAUACAUAUACAUAUGUAUACAAAAUUUAAAAACUUUUCAAUAUAUAUAUAUAUAUAUAUAUAUAUAUAUAUUGAUAAAAACUAUCAACAUGACAAGAUCUAAAUACCCAACAUUUUUCUGAAAAAUUGGACAUAACAUCUAUGAGCUAUUGUCCCUGAAAUGUGUAAAUUUACAAAUUUUCACAGUUUUCUGCUACUAUCCGACAACUAUAUCAAUAUAUUAUAAGAAUAAAUUGCAAAAGUGGUCAGAAGAAACUUUUUUUUUACAGUCUGAACUUAUUCUGAAUUGUUUAACUUCUAAUUUAAAUUGAUUGCGUUUGAAAUAUGUGUUUUUUAUCGUUUUAGGUGCACAAUUUGUCAAUACGAUCUAUUUCGGCUCCUGGGAGCCUCUAGAUUUAUAAUGAAUAAUUUGUAUUUAUGUAUGAUUAUUUUCUUAAUGUAUUAAAUGAAACAUUAAUUAUUCUU